This 442-nucleotide ribosomal RNA is filed under the name uncultured bacterium. RNAcentral's name for it is "partial 16S ribosomal RNA". It matches the Rfam family "Bacterial small subunit ribosomal RNA", at positions 338 to 795 of the family's 1533-position model. The record is from RNAcentral.
CCUACGGGCGGCAGCAGUGGGGAAUAUUGGGCAAUGGGCGAAAGCCUGACCCAGCAACGCCGCGUGAAGGAAGAAGGCUCUCGGGUUGUAAACUUCUUUUGACAGGGAAGAGCAGAAGACGGUACCUGUCGAAUAAGCCACGGCUAACUACGUGCCAGCAGCCGCGGUAAUACGUAGGUGGCAAGCGUUGUCCGGAUUUACUGGGGGUAAAGGGCGUGUAGCCGGGCUGACAAGUCAGAUGUGAAAUCCGGGGGCUCAACCCCCGAACUGCAUUUGAAACUGUUGGUCUUGAGUAUCGGAGAGGCAGGCGGAAUUCCUAGUGUAGCGGUGAAAUGCGUAGAUAUUAGGAGGAACACCAGUGGCGAAGGCGGCCUGCUGGACGACAACUGACGGUGAGGCGCGAAAGCGUGGGGAGCAAACAGGAUUAGAUACCCCUGUAGUC